Long non-coding RNA from Neltuma alba, 447 nucleotides. RefSeq lists it as uncharacterized. Lineage: Eukaryota; Viridiplantae; Streptophyta; Magnoliopsida; Fabales; Fabaceae. The record is from RefSeq and is a predicted model, not a curated record. The transcript has 4 exons.
UAGGUGAGGGAACUAGGUGAAUUGCUCUGUUUUGAAGAAAACAGUUAUAUGAGAAGUAAGGAAGGCAGGUUUCAACAUUAACGGCAUUGUGGGUAUUACGCAAUUGACAAUUGGCAUGGGGCAGAAUUGAAUUUCCUCCUCAAUUCCUAUUUUACUUCAGCAAUAAUAAGGACAAUGCAACAACUCAAGGUCAGAAAAUGGAUGUGCAGUGAUUAUGUUGAAUAUUUUUGACAAACACCUUCCAAUUUUGGAAUUUGAAGAAUCAAGGAGCAAAGAAUAACUGAUAGUGGUCAAAGAGGAACUUAGUCAUUGGACUAAUAAAUAAAAGAAAUGCAGAAGAAGGAGCCUCAUCAAUGUCCAUUGAAGAUUGAUUGUAUACUUCUUGAAUAGUAUUGUUGAAAUUUGAGUAUUGGAGUGCAAUUUAUGCAAUAAAAUACUUUUUCCAUA